Non-coding RNA from Phascolarctos cinereus (koala), 1062 nucleotides. NCBI's taxonomy places the organism in Eukaryota, Metazoa, Chordata, Mammalia, Diprotodontia, Phascolarctidae. The record is from RefSeq and is a predicted model, not a curated record.
GGCCUCAUUGAUAAUGUUGGCUGGCCUACUGGGUGUGGAAUGAGACUCAGGGACUCACAUUAAACUAAGAGGAAUGAUUAGAACUUGGCACAAUCUGGAGGCCGGUUCUGGCAGACAAUGUUUCUCAGGAUCACUGACCUCCUUCAUUCUCCUGUGAUAGCCCAAAGUUCAUCACAGGGACUCCUCAACUGCUGGAGUCACGAUUCCAUCCUUCAUCUUUCUGGUGACUAUGCUCUCGCUGCAUCCUCUUCUCUAGUCUCCUUCUGGCUACCCCAGGGAUCUCAGCCCUCUUCUCUCGAAGACCUGUAUGCCUUAAGGUGAGCCUUCUCCAAACGGUUUUUCAAAGGCUCCCUAGUAACUGGAUCUUCUAGCGAACGGAAUCAACCCAUCAUUGUCCAGAGUGAAUCCAGGAAGCAAAAAUCUGCUAAUUAAAGUAGAAGAGUGGCUGAUGGCAUUUUUAAAAGAUUUUCAAAAAAGCUGCUCCUGGUCCUCCAGACCUAACAGGGAGAUUCAUUAGAUACUUGCAUUGUCCUCUACAGCAAACACUCCAAAACUGUCUGGAAGCACAACCAUUCCACUUUCCUCAUGGUUGUUAUGAGUAGACUUUGUCAGCCUUGAAGCAUGUGAACUAUGAAGCAUGUAACAAACAUAGAAAACUACCCGAGCAAAAUCAUCCACCAUGGCUGUAUGCUGGGCCUCGGAGAGCAAAUUAAAACACCAAUGAUUUUAGGACAAAGUCCAUAAACUGGCCAAAUGAAAAGACUCUCUAAAUACAGCAAAUGGUAGCAAAAGCACAGCUACAAUCAAUAAAACGGAAAAUAGCUAAAAGCUGGGUGAGAACACUCAGCAACAACUUUUGCAACAAUAUUUUGUUGACAACCGCCAUCAGCUUUAAGGAAGAAAAAGAUCAUUACAACUCAAUUUAAAACAAAAGUGAAAAAAAACCCUCACCAAAACCAUACCCCAGGAGGACAGUAAAAGAAGAAAUAUCUGUAAUUAACAGCAUUUAAGUCCCUAAAACUAAAAUGCAGAGAGGUGAAGGGUGUAGUCACAAAAGGAGGU